RNAcentral lists this ribosomal RNA (899 nucleotides) under bacterium. Its description in RNAcentral is "bacterial SSU rRNA". It matches the Rfam family "Bacterial small subunit ribosomal RNA", at positions 58 to 937 of the family's 1533-position model. The record is from RNAcentral.
CAAGUCGAGCGGACCGACGGGAGCUUGCUCCCUUAGGUCAGCGGCGGACGGGUGAGUAACACGUGGGUAACCUGCCUGUAAGACUGGGAUAACUCCGGGAAACCGGGGCUAAUACCGGAUGCUUGAUUGAACCGCAUGGUUCAAUCAUAAAAGGUGGCUUUUAGCUACCACUUACAGAUGGACCCGCGGCGCAUUAGCUAGUUGGUGAGGUAACGGCUCACCAAGGCGACGAUGCGUAGCCGACCUGAGAGGGUGAUCGGCCACCCUGGGACUGAGACACGGCCCAGACUCCUACGGGAGGCAGCAGUAGGGAAUCUUCCGCAAUGGACGAAAGUCUGACGGAGCAACGCCGCGUGAGUGAUGAAGGUUUUCGGAUCGUAAAACUCUGUUGUUAGGGAAGAACAAGUACCGUUCGAAUAGGGCGGCACCUUGACGGUACCUAACCAGAAAGCCACGGCUAACUACGUGCCAGCAGCCGCGGUAAUACGUAGGUGGCAAGCGUUGUCCGGAAUUAUUGGGCGUAAAGCGCGCGCAGGCGGUUUCUUAAGUCUGAUGUGAAAGCCCCCGGCUCAACCGGGGAGGGUCAUUGGAAACUGGGGAACUUGAGUGCAGAAGAGGAGAGUGGAAUUCCACGUGUAGCGGUGAAAUGCGUAGAGAUGUGGAGGAACACCAGUGGCGAAGGCGACUCUCUGGUCUGUAACUGACGCUGAGGCGCGAAAGCGUGGGGAGCGAACAGGAUUAGAUACCCUGGUAGUCCACGCCGUAAACGAUGAGUGCUAAGUGUUAGAGGGUUUCCGCCCUUUAGUGCUGCAGCAAACGCAUUAAGCACUCCGCCUGGGGAGUACGGUCGCAAGACUGAAACUCAAAGGAAUGGACGGGGGCCCGCACAAGCGGUGGAA